RNAcentral lists this ribosomal RNA (379 nucleotides) under uncultured eukaryote. Its description in RNAcentral is "partial 18S ribosomal RNA". It matches the Rfam family "Eukaryotic small subunit ribosomal RNA", at positions 592 to 976 of the family's 1831-position model. The record is from RNAcentral.
CAAUAGCGUAUAUUUAAGUUGUUGCAGUUAAAAAGCUCGUAGUUGGAUUUCGGAUGGGACUUGCCGGUCCGUCGUUUCGUUGUGCACUGGCCAGUCCUAUCUUGUUGUCGGGGACUAGCUCCUGGGCUUCACUGUCCGGGACUAGGAGCUGACGAGGUUACUUUGAGUAAAUUAGAGUGUUCAAAGCAAGCCUACGCUCUGAAUACAUUAGCAUGGAAUAACACGAUAGGACUCUGGCUUAUCUUGUUGGUCUGUGAGACCAGAGUAAUGAUUAAGAGGGACAGUCGGGGGCAUUCGUAUUUCAUUGUCAGAGGUGAAAUUCUUGGAUUUAUGAAAGACGAACUUCUGCGAAAGCAUUUGUCAAGGAUGUUUUCAUUAA